Molecule: long non-coding RNA, 461 nt
Filed under: Calidris pugnax (ruff)
Lineage: Eukaryota; Metazoa; Chordata; Aves; Charadriiformes; Scolopacidae
Description: lncRNA (ENSCPUG00000003888.1)
Source: RNAcentral
CUUGUACUCUGCAGAAGGUAACAGAGACCAUUUUGUUGUUAAUAUAUGUCUGAGCAAUCCUUCUUUCGACAAAAUAUACAACUCUCAGUAAAUUUCCUCUAAUUUCAGACUGUGCACUUCAAAAUAAUACCAUAAAGGCUCAUCAUUUCAAUCCAUUAUUGAUUACACCUUGGGGACUUUCCACCGAUUCCACUUGAUGCUACUUUUAAAAUGAAUAUUCUGGAGUCUACUCGGGCACUGAUCUUUCCAUGGAAAUAACAGAAAAUUCCAAGAAAUGGAAGCCGCUCAUAGUAAAAGAAGAAAAGCUGAGUAUCAUCAGGGUUAAUAGCUCCUAUUUGAGAUCCAUGAAUGAUUACAGAGGUUUUUUCCUAAAUCGAACUUUCAAGAUUCAUUAAUAAUAUGCUGCCUCUCUGGGACAUAGGUGCGCUCAUGGUACGAAGGCUAUUUAUUCAUCGCAUGGA